GAACUUCCUUUUUCUAAUUUUUCUCAUGUCUACAGAAGGGAAAUCUUAAAAUGAGGAUGGAAAUUGAGGACAACAGAAACGGCUGGAUGUGUGAGAGCGGCGGUCACACGGUGGAGGAAGCUGGGAUCAGGUGCAAGGCCACCUGCCUUCACUCUUUCCCUCACAGAGGUUUCAGCUCACUAAAAACUGCUGCUGACAACACACAUUCCCACUUAAAACACCCAGAACAUUUUUCUUUAUCUUUUGAGAAUGUUACACAAAUAUACAAUGUAUUUUGGUUAUAUUCACUCCUACAUCCCAACAACAACAGCAAUAAUAACAACUCUUGGACUCCCAUCCCCUCAUGUCCCUAGACAUGUUUUUAAAUCAUAUUUUGUUUACUUA
This is a long non-coding RNA of Mus musculus (house mouse), 384 nucleotides long. RefSeq annotates it as predicted gene, 52123. Lineage: Eukaryota; Metazoa; Chordata; Mammalia; Rodentia; Muridae. The record is from RefSeq and is a predicted model, not a curated record. The transcript is spliced from 2 exons.